UAUGAAGAACGCAGCGAAAUGCGAUAAGUAGUGUGAAUUGCAGAAUUCAGUGAAUCAUCGAAUCUUUGAACGCACAUUGCGCCCCUUGGUAUUCCAUGGGGCAUGCCUGUUCGAGCGUCAUUUGUACCUUCAAGCUCUGCUUGGUGUUGGGUGUUUGUCUCGCCUCUGCGUGUAGACUCGCCUUAAAACAAUUGGCAGCCGGCGUAUUGAUUUCGGAGCGCAGUACAUCUCGCGCUUUGCACUCAUAACGACGACGUCCAAAAGUACAUUUUUACACUCUUGACCUCGGAUCAGGUAGGGAUACCCGCUGAACUUAAGCAUAUCAAUAAGCGGAGGA
This 337-nucleotide unclassified non-coding RNA is filed under the name soil metagenome. RNAcentral's name for it is "partial contains 5.8S ribosomal RNA, internal transcribed spacer 2, and large subunit ribosomal RNA". The stretch from base 2 to 120 matches the Rfam family "5.8S ribosomal RNA", at positions 36 to 154 of the family's 154-position model. The record is from RNAcentral.